UUCUGGGUGAGUCCGCGGAGCCCCCUCGGCUAAAGCCGCUGCGUGGGGUUCCCGCGUCGGAGGCUCCUCUGGGGUCCGCGCUUUCCCACCUGUUUCGCUCUCCCCACGCAGAGUCGGACCCUCCACUCACAGACCCCUCGCUGUGCGUGGGGCAGUCAGUGACCUUGCGCCUGCUGUGUUCCAGGGCUGGGGUGUAGCCUCGAACCCUGCUCCAGUGAGAGAAGCAGGCGGUAGGUGUGAAAAGAUGAGAAACUUGAAGAGGAUCUGGAACAGCGCUGCGCAAUAGGAACGUAGAGAGAGCCGAGCGGCAGGAGUAAUUGAAAACUUUCUGGUAACCACGCUCCCAUCGUUUCCUGAGCAGCGGUCCUCUUAAAAGCCCUGGCAAAGAAAAGAAAAAACUCUUAUAAUUUCCUACUGCUUCUCUCAGUUUCACCAACUUCUUAAAAACCAGACGUAGGAGGUCCGCUAAUGGUCAAGCCUUCGGCAGCUCAAGUCUGGCACGGGGCAGAUACUCAACAGCUACAUGGUGACUCGGUAAAGAAAUUCAGCUGUCAGAGUGGCUUGGGUUCCUUCUAAAGGAGAUGGGUUGCAGCCCCGGAAGGACCACCACCCCGAGGGUGGAUUCACACGUGAGGCCAAGAGGCUACGGGGCUGAAACGGGAGGUGGAGGAAACAAUAGGUAAGGUGAAGUUGGCUGGUUGCAACUACCCAGACGUUUUAGUUCCUUUUUAAAUAAAUAUUUCCCCAUGUAAUCCUGUUAUGUAUUCCAGGUACAUGAAUGGAAUGCAAGGUCAAAGGAUCUAAUUUGUUUAAGCCCCCAUGUCUGUGAUUUGUACUUGAACGUUCAAUGUGGGGGAAGGUGUUGGGGAGAGGGCUUGGAUCGUCAGUGUUGGAAAAUGAGACACACGAACACGGGGAGGUCUCGACAAGGCUCUUUCCUUUUGCAGAAGGGCACGGGUGCUCCAAAAGCCGCGCAAAGGGGAAAAGACCCUCCCCUAUUUAUCCCUAACGCAGGUGAUGUACCGGCCCCUUCCCAUGGGGCGGGUCAGGGCGCACAUUCUUCUCCUGGGCUAAUUUGAAACAAAUUGCAACUGGGAGAAGAGGAAGAGAGGAGAAGGGUCACCAAGAUUUCCUUUGAUAGAAAAGACAUUAUGUUACUUUCCACAAAGGGAAGGAUAAGAAAACAGAAACCCUAUUCUCAGAAGUGGGUUAAUAGUACAAGAAGGCACACUGAGUGCGGGUUAAGUCUGCAGGAGAUCAGAUCAGCUUUGUUUCACAUGGCACCCUCCAUCAUUUCAUCCCACUACUGCAUCCUAGAAUCUUCACCAGCGGCCAGAGCUGACGCUGGGUGCCAGUUCUCUGACUGCUGUUCGUGCAGCCUGCUCUGGGAUCUGCCUGGACCACCCUGCUGCUGAAGCUUCCUCCUGGGAGAUGGGGACACAGACAGACCCUGGAGGCUGCUACAGCUGUGGGAACUUGGGCAGUUCAUGGGAGCAAAGGAGGUGCCUGGUCCAAACCACAGCUGGAAGCUGUGCCAUUUCUCUUGACAUCUGGGCAGAACGUAAGCCUUGGAGGGACCGGUUGGCAGGAAUUCUUGUUGAUUGGAGGCAGGGAAGGAGAAAGCAGAGGUGGCCGCUGUCAUGUGACAUUAGCAUCACGUUAGCGAUGGCUUCAGCACCUCUUGGGUGGCGUGUGUUAUCGUGAGUUCUCAUGAACUCACAGACUUGAAACGGGUGACAGGGUGGUGGAUGCCCCUCCCGAAAGGUGUAUGACAGAUCCGGAAAGGGAGGGGCUGGUCUGAGGGGAAGUUUCCUCCUUGGGGCCCUCAGACCAUUCAGAGAGGGGGCCAUGGCCUGGACAAAGCACAGGGCUUCAGCCAGCAGAGUGACUCACCUGGGGACAGGAAACAUCCGGAUGACCUCCCUUCCACCUUGUGAACCCUCGUUAACGGGGGCAGGGGGGGCAAAUCACCUCUGAACCCACGAAAACGACGUUGUCUUUCUAAAAGCUCUUCUGUCGAAAAUGCAGAAAUUUUAAAACAAGGUUGAUGUCUCUGUUUUUUUGGUCCCAGCAUGGCAUAUGGAAUCACAUGUGAGCUGCUGCUGCAACCUACAGCACAGCUGCAGCAAUGCCAGAUCCUUAACCCACCAUGCCGCAGGGGGAACUCCCGCUAUCUCCAUUUUAAGUUUAAAAGCUCUCACAAUUAUGUGGCUUUGAGAGUUCACUGUAAAGUCAUUUAAGUGGCCCAAUGGACAUAACUGGACUUUUAAUUCACAGGCUUUGAAACAUCUUUAAAUGACUUGGAUUGAGCACUUCUCUGCUGUUGGUAGGUUUUAUGAUGGUUCCUAGUAAGAGGGAUGGAUGUAUAGACACACAUGCCUGUCACUGGCGAGGAGGACAGCGCCUGUCUGUGUAUCUAGGAAAUUCAAAGGUCAUUUUGAACUCGAAGGUUAAGAAAUGAUGUUCCUGCUACACCUUUUCCAGACUCCCUCUCAGCGCUGUUUGGCAGUGACAGUAACGGCAUGGUCCUGGGGACCACGGCCCGUUCUCCAAACCAUCUGCACCUGAUCUCGGCCCCGGGCAGUGGUGCAUGGUGGGGUUAACAAGGCUUUCCCUCAUCUGACACCUCCUUCCUCCCUGGGGAAGAGGCAUGAAUGCUGCCAAUAAGUAGACUCAAAGUAUGUUUGUCAUUAAGCUUUUCCUGUAGGCUGGCUCGUUCAAUUGAUGGAGUUGCUCUGGUGAGUUACUUUAAGCUUCCAACUUAUAAAUCAAGAUGUAGUCAUAUCAAUUCAAUGUUGGUUUGUUCACCUCGUUGAUUUUGAAAUAAAAAUGAAUGUGAUUUUAGAGAUGCCCCAAGUGAAAAAUCCCCAAUACUGACGCCACUAGCAAUGAGCAGCACUGCCUGCUGGAACCAGGGUUCCUUACAGGGCACUGACCCCAGGUCUGGGGCAGGAGAUGGUAAGUGAGCCUAGCAUAUCCUGCUCUGCCAAGAACUUUUCGGAAACUAAGGUGUCAAGGUCAAAAGGACAAAGAGGCCAACCUGAAGGGUAUCCCGUUGCUCUAAAAUACGACAAUGAAGCAUCCAAAAGAUGAGUGAGAUGGAUUGAAGUACAUGGCAUACAUAAAAUUUCAUGAAUUCGUGAAUAUCCUAAAACAAACAGCUAACCAGCUCUUUAGUUUAAAAUUUGAUGCACGGAAAGACAGAUUUAUCUUGCUUUUUUUUUUCCCUGUACAAACCUUAUUUAAGAGUUCACAAAGAGGUGACAGGAGAAAUUUCUUUACAGAUGCAUACAAGCUAAUAAAAGUAGAAGGAAUGAUAGUUAAGAAAUCAUUAAAAACAAACACCUAUUGGAGUAAUGAAUUUAGGCAACAGUCAUCAAAGACAUUAAAGCAGUAGGUGACAGGUGAAUGGGGACCAGCCAGUGGAUGGAUCAGGCUGGGGAUCCAGGAACUGACUGUCAAUCUCUUAUCACUAAGAGCGGAUGAUGAGACGUUACAAUGUGAUGCAAAGCAGAUAUGCAGCACCAUCUCUGAAGCUGAAAAAAAUUCCUCUGAAUCUAAGCAAGCCUCUGUGUCUAACCUUUCACUUAACAGAAAAUACAGCAGGUAGAGAAACCAGUUAGAAAAUGUCAAAUCAAUACCGUGGGACAUUUUACAGGGCGGCCAAUCUAAUUUCUCCAAAGAAUUAAUGACACGGAAACAAAGCAGGGGAGGGGACAGCUACAGACAUGAGACUUAAGACUUACUCGUGGGCUUUGUUCAGAUCCUGAUUCAGGGGAGUUCCCAUCGUGGCGCAGUGGUUAACAAAUCUGACUAGGAACCAUGAGGUUUCGGGUUCGAUCCCUGGCCUUGCUCAGUGGGUUAAGGAUCCAGUGUUGCCAUGAGUUGUGGUGUAGGUCACAGAUGCAGCUCGGAUCCCGUGUUGCUGUGGCUCUUACGUAGGCCGGCGGCUACAGCUCUGAU
Molecule: non-coding RNA, 3963 nt
Organism: Sus scrofa (pig)
Lineage: Eukaryota; Metazoa; Chordata; Mammalia; Artiodactyla; Suidae
Source: RefSeq, a predicted model, not a curated record